RNAcentral lists this long non-coding RNA (720 nucleotides) under Struthio camelus australis. RNAcentral describes it as "lncRNA (ENSSCUG00000016271.1)". Lineage: Eukaryota; Metazoa; Chordata; Aves; Struthioniformes; Struthionidae. The record is from RNAcentral.
ACCGCCAGCAAUAAGCCUGUAGAGGAGCAAAGUCCGUAUCAGUGCGCUCGGGGUGAGUCUGACCAGCUCGUCCCAUACUGCCAUGCUUACUGCAGUGCUCUUCCUACAGUACCAUCCUUCGUAAUCUAUACUCCUCAGUGAAUUCAUGCCUUAUGUUUAUCACAAAAGCCCAGUCAGGAAUAGCAGCAGAAGAAAACGUUGUAGAAGUCUGCUCAAAACCAAGAAUAACAUGUUAAAGAUCCACUGUAGACUCACUGCCUGCGUGACAUAAGGAUUCGUGAUGUGCGUGUAGCUGACCUGUGAGGGUUCAGCUGACCUGUGAGGGUUCAGCUGGAUAUAACCUUGUGAUCUUCUUAAAAAUAUCUUGUCUUUAUCAUAAGAUAUAAGACGCAAAUUAUUAUUCAGAUUCUUUGCCAACCGCAGAUUUAAAAUCUCUGGGUAUUUCUCAUGUCUGAUCCUCUCAGGGCUGUGAUGUUGAUGCUGCCAGGGAGGACUGCAGAGGUUUUCUACGAAAUCAGUUUUUCCUGUCUGGAUUGUGGCAAACUGCAGCCAAAGAUCAUCACCGCUGUCUGGAACUGGUCUGCUGCAGAAGAAUCGGAGCAGGUAGCUGACCUAAGGACAGUUCAUAUCCAUGAAAGAAUAGAGCACCUAUGCAACCAUAAAAAGAGCAGCGUGAUGUGGAGCUGUCAUCCCUGUGCGAUAGAUUGCAAAAUGGGUUAG